Molecule: unclassified non-coding RNA, 327 nt
Filed under: soil metagenome
Description: partial contains 5.8S ribosomal RNA, internal transcribed spacer 2, and large subunit ribosomal RNA
Rfam family: 5.8S ribosomal RNA (bases 1-118)
Source: RNAcentral
GAUGAAACGCAGCGAAAUGCGAUAAGUAAUGUGAAUUGCAGAAUUCAGUGAAUCAUCGAAUCUUUGAACGCACAUUGCGCCCCCUGGUAUUCCGGGGGGCAUGCCUGUCCGAGCGUCAUUACAACCCUCAAGCUCAGCUUGGUGUUGGGCCCCGCCGCCCCGGCGGGCCCUAAAGUCAGUGGCGGUGCCGUCCGGCUCCGAGCGUAGUAAUUCUUCUCGCUCUGGAGGUCCGGUCGUGUGCUCGCCAGCAACCCCCAAUUUUUUUCAGGUUGACCUCGGAUCAGGUAGGGAUACCCGCUGAACUUAAGCAUAUCAAUAAGCGGAGGA